RNAcentral lists this ribosomal RNA (393 nucleotides) under uncultured bacterium. RNAcentral describes it as "partial 16S ribosomal RNA". It matches the Rfam family "Bacterial small subunit ribosomal RNA", at positions 523 to 918 of the family's 1533-position model. The record is from RNAcentral.
AUACGGAGGACGCGAGCGUUAUCCGGAUUCAUUGGGUUUAAAGGGUGCGCAGGCGGCCGUGCAAGUCAGCGGUGAAAGCCCGGGGCUCAACCCCGGAAGUGCCGUUGAUACUGCAUGGCUGGAAUGCGGUCGAGGCGGGCGGAACGGGGCGUGUAGCGGUGAAAAGCGUAGAUAUUGCACAGAACGCCGAUAGCGGAGGCAGCUCGCCAGGCCUGCAUUGACGCUCGGGCACGAAAGCGUGGGGAUCGAACAGGAUUAGAUACCCUGGUAGUCCACGCCGUAAACGAUGGGCGCUCGUCGUCGGCGGCAGACAGUCGGCGGCCAAGCGAAAGCGAUAAGCGCCCCACCUGGGGAGUACGGUCGCAAGGCUGAAACUCAAAUGAAUUGACGGGG